CUAACACUGGGAUAAAAAGCUGGUAUGCAGGGCAUGUAGUUACACCUAAGUCCCCCUCAUCGAAUUGAUGAGGAGCACACAAAGGCAGAGGAGAGGAGUAGGGGAACAAGACAUCUCAUCCUGAUGAUGGCUCACAGCUCCAUUGCAACUAGGAUGUUGGCUCUGCUUGGGCUGCUCUCUUUUCUCCCUGUCUCCUCAGCAAUGAUUGCCAGACUUCCAGACAACCAGUCUCCUCCACCCGUCGGCUCUCCAGAACAACCCGUUCCUCCGGAGGAUUACGGAAUGGCCUCAGGAUCAUAUGGCAUGCCACAAGACCAAAUCCCAAGGGCACGGGGACACAUGCCAUCUGAUGGCUACCCUAUGCCACCUGAUAGCUUCCUGAUGUCAUCUGAUGGUGAUCCCAUGCCCAUGGAUGACUACCCCAUGCAUUCUAGUGGUUACCCAAUGCCACCCGACAGCUACCCAAUUUCAUCUGAUGGUGAUCCCAUGCCAUAUGAACAUGACCCAAUGGCAUGGGAAGGACAAGCCAAGGACUCAGGUGGCUACCCCAUGGCAAUACCCCAUGUGCCUCCUUCGAAUCUGACUCUGCUGAACAUGACCAGACCCAAUAACCUGACGUGGGAUUAUGAUGAGCCGAUGGUGCCCGAUCCAUCCUACUGCGAC
Molecule: long non-coding RNA, 663 nt
Organism: Clupea harengus (Atlantic herring)
Lineage: Eukaryota; Metazoa; Chordata; Actinopteri; Clupeiformes; Clupeidae
Source: Ensembl